GAUGAAGAACGUAGCGAAAUGCGAUAAGUAAUGUGAAUUGCAGAAUUCAGUGAAUCAUCGAGUCUUUGAACGCACAUUGCGCCCCCUGGUAUUCCGGGGGGCAUGCCUGUCCGAGCGUCAUUGCCGCCCUCAAGCACGGCUUGUGUGUUGGGCCCCCGCCCCCCGGCUUCGGGGGGCGGGCCCGAAAGGCAGCGGCGGCACCGCGUCCGGUCCUCGAGCGUAUGGGGCUUCGUCACCCGCUCUGUAGGCCCGGCCGGCGCCCGCCGGCGACCCCAAUCAAUCUUUCCAGGUUGACCUCGGAUCAGGUGGGAUACCCGCUGAACUUAAGCAUAUCAAUAAGCGGAGGA
RNAcentral lists this unclassified non-coding RNA (347 nucleotides) under soil metagenome. RNAcentral's name for it is "partial contains 5.8S ribosomal RNA, internal transcribed spacer 2, and large subunit ribosomal RNA". The stretch from base 1 to 120 matches the Rfam family "5.8S ribosomal RNA", at positions 35 to 154 of the family's 154-position model. The record is from RNAcentral.